CCCCACUUGCCCAGUGUGGAAAAAAGAGGAAGGUGCCUCUGAAAGUGUGGCUGGAAGCCUGCAGCAGUUUUGCUAUUGCUGAUUUUUAUAAAAACCUAAGUCAAUUUGUAACUGAUGACUAUUCCACAGGGAGAGAAAUCCAAAAUAGGAUCACUGUUUUCCUAUGCUAUAAUCAUAUCUUACCUUGUCCUUUGGAUUAUUUUUCCCAUUGUGGUCUUAAACUUGAAGGGAACGAAACAUUUAUCUAAUUUAUUAAGAAAGAAAACACGUUCCUUUGUAAGGUAAGUACUUCGUGGAGUAAAAACUCCUGAAAGGGCAAACACUUCUUUGAAUGCCAGUAAACACCUCAUUUAUUUCAUGUGUGCAGUUUGAUUUGCACAUGUACAAAUGGAGAUGCUCUUUGCAUUUUUGCUUUGAUUUUGUUUUUGUCAUUGCUUAUCACAGUUUGAUUUCAGUGUUUGCUGUGUGUUUGGAAAUAGUCGAGUCUGUUUCUUUGGUGGGAUUUGUUUUCCUGAUGUGCCUUUUCACUUUUCUUUGGGAUUGGUUUUUGGAAUCUGUGUGCUAUUGCAGGGUGACAGCAGGCUGCUGCUGGUGGGACCGGUACUUGGGUGAGUGCAGAUGUUCAGGUUGGGCACCAGAAAUGCCCCCUAGGCCACAGCAUUUGUGUGUACACAUGCGCUCCCAGAGGAGGACUCAAGGCCGUGAGAAGGCCAAGAAAAGGCCUGGCUCCCUCCUGGGGUUUGCGGUCUGUCUUGGGGCUGCUGGCUGCCAGGGUACCGAUGGCACUGAUGGGUCUGCACUCCCUGCCACCCAGCACUUGCUGAAGUGUUGUCAAGGCAGAAAGCCCCUCCUCCACGAGGGACUGUGAGCUUUCUAGAGGAAUAGCCCAGAAAUACUCAGGCUGGUUAACAUCAUGAAGGAGAAAAGACCUGUACCCUCUCUUUUUGUUUCCUGGAUGGAUGCAGGUUGAAUAAAUGUAAUCAGUUUCCACUUGGGAGUGGAGCCACACUACCACUCACUGGUAAGUGAAGAUGUCAGUGUGUGGGGUUGGACUGAAAGAAAUUACUGUGUACAAAUGACUAUGUGCUUUUCAGAGCAGACCAAGGUGGAUUACCUAGAUUGUGUAUGUAAUUAGACACUGCUUCCCUCUCCCCGGCCCACAAAUUCUUGAUUUUUUUUUUUAAAGUCUAUUUUGUUAACGACAGGCUCUGUUGUGUUGCUAGCCCAAGCCUGGAUUAUUUUAUUUAUUUGAAAAUAUUUUAAUUUCCAUAUUGGCUUUAUUCUAAUCCCAUCUAUCCGUGCGGGGCCACAAAGCAUCUUCAUGUGACUAGAUGGACUUAUGUAGAUUCAUGCUCAUUUAGGAAGCUGGCAGUUUCGUAAAGCUAAGCGUGAGUUCCUUUCACUCUUGUUGGCUUCAACAAGUGGAACAACAAAUUUUUACAUGUAGCAAAAGAUCAUAUUAGCUGUAUAGUCUUGGAUGCAGGAAAAAAUAAUUACCCUAUCUCUCCUAGCACUUAGGGUUUUGUGAGGAGUCAGUAUUUAGUACAGUGCCUGGCACAUAGUAAGCCCUAGUAAAUGUUAAAUAUUGUUAUUAUUAGCAUUUCAUAAAACCUGACAAAUACGGAGCUGAGCUCCUUCCCUGUUCCUCAGAAGUAAUACCUACAUGGAAAUAUUAUCCCAAGUUGAUGAAUGUUGUAGGAAUUACUGGUUUAGAGUGCUCAAGUUCUGCACCUACCCUCCUAGUUGAAAUUUUACUGUAUUCUUGGAUGCACUGAGUCCUUUGAAAAUUUGUUAGACAUCAGCCCCCAGUGAAAAAAGGCUGCAAGCGUUAAGUGACUGGAGACGAAAAGUGUGAAGGUGACGUGUGGCCACUUACUGACCCUCACCCCACUGAUAUCUUCUGGAACAUUCCAGGGCUUUUCUUUGAUGAACUUUCUGAGCUUGAAAUUAAAAGACCUUUGACAGACUGCACCCCAAGAAUUAAAGUUAAUUUAUUCCUUUGCAGUGGAGAGAGACUUUUCUGUGUCCCUUAAGGAAAAAGAAAUGACCAAUUGAUUUAAACAUUCCCCUAGGAAGUCCCUUCGUGGCACUCUGCUGGCCAGGGUGGGCUCUAACAGGCUGGUUAGCUCUCAUGUUUCUACCAAUUAAAGGUUAAUUCCAAAAAACAGGGGUGUGGGCACAUGCCUGUAAUCCCAGCACUCUGGGAGGCUGAAGCAGGAGGAUCACAAGUUGAAGCCCAGCCUAGGCAAUGUAGCAGAAUCCUGUCAGAAAAUAAAAUGGUCUGGGGAGGUAGCAAGUCACAAAAGAAAGAAGAAAAAAAAAAAAAAGUUAAUCCCAUAUCCUGGUCCCAAAGAAAACCCACCUCCCCAGGGGAACCAGCUGAGAUCCUGGAGCAGGAAUUUGGGCCUCUGGCAGAACAGCUCCCACAGGCUGCUCGUGGUUCCAUGAUGCUUUCCCAAAUCACUUAAGUGUCAGUUUGUUGUCUUAUUGGGGAUUUAGCCUCCCAUACUGCCCUAGUGGAUUUAAAGUUUUAUCUCUUGCCCUAUGUUGACACAACUCUAGAUAGAUUGGGGAAAGUUUUUGGAGUUCAAUGUCUUUUCCAAAUUCCUUUGGUUGCUCUUCCGCUGUCCAGCAGUCUUAUAAUUGUAUGGAUGCAGUGAUUGGAAUUCACCUUCAGAGCCUCUGUCUCUCCUCCAGAUUUUGUGUCACCUUGGGGAAGUCUGCUUAUUUGGUGGUCAGGGACAGUGUCUGUGGAGUGGAGCGGGUAUCGGGCACACACAGCAUUGCAGUGACCUGGGCAGCAGGACGGGAUCUCAGGAUGGCCCCUCAUCCCCCUGGGCCGAGAUGAGUGAACACAGAGCAUUCUGCUCGCUAACCUGCCCAAGUGUUAAUAGCGUAAUUGUUGAUGCCAAAGGAGAUGGUUAUGUCCAUCUACAGGAGUUAGUUACAAUCUUGACAUUGUUAAUAGCCAUUUUGUGUCUGUGUCUUCAAACAAAUCCUGGUCCAGCUAUUUUCUACUGUGUACUUACGGGGUUAAGUCAUACAGGAUACUGCAAAUAAGGUGUUGCUGUCCAAAUGUACUGUACUGGCAUAGAGAGCACUGCUUUGUUUUCCACUGUUGUAGAGAAAACUAGGGAGAACUUUAUUUUUCAAUAAACUUUCCUUGUGUGACAGGUGCAAGUGAUUUUGAGGGGGCCACUGAGUACAGGGUCACCGGCAAAACAAAGCUGGGCUGUAGUCCAGCUGCCUCUCAUAGCUUGAAAACAUGUUUGAAAAAGCUGCAAGGAUGGUGAAGAUGAGGGGAAAGAACCGUUUUAUCCUUUACAUUACAUCCACCAGUGCCAAGUUCAGAGCACUCCCUGUGCUUCGUUCACCUAGAGGGGAGCUGAACUGGAAAGUGAGCUGCUACACUUGUGUUUUGAGAUACUGUCUGCAACAAAGUAGGGGAGGCUGAGCACCAGAACCAG
This 3467-nucleotide long non-coding RNA is filed under the name Heterocephalus glaber (naked mole-rat). RNAcentral's name for it is "lncRNA (ENSHGLG00000041280.1)". The record is from RNAcentral. Lineage: Eukaryota; Metazoa; Chordata; Mammalia; Rodentia; Bathyergidae.